UACGGAGGGGGCUAGCGUUGUUCGGAAUUACUGGGCGUAAAGCGCACGUAGGCGGCUUUGUAAGUUAGAGGUGAAAGCCCGGGGCUCAACUCCGGAAUUGCCUUUAAGACUGCAUCGCUAGAAUUGUGGAGAGGUAAGUGGAAUUCCGAGUGUAGAGGUGAAAUGCGUAGAGAUGCGGAGGAACACCGAUGGCGAAGGCAGCCCCCUGGGCUAGCACUGACGCUCAGGCACGAAAGCGUGGGGAGCAAACAGG
This 253-nucleotide ribosomal RNA is filed under the name uncultured bacterium. RNAcentral's name for it is "partial 16S ribosomal RNA". It matches the Rfam family "Bacterial small subunit ribosomal RNA", at positions 524 to 776 of the family's 1533-position model. The record is from RNAcentral.